UAAGCGGAGGAAAAGAAACUAACGAGGAUUUCCUUAGUAACGGCGAGCGAACCGGAAGUAGCCCAGCUUGAAAAUCGCGCGGUUCCACCGUGCGAAUUGUAGUCUGGAGAAGCGUCCUCUGCAGCGGACCGGGCCCAAGUUCCCUGGAACGGGACGUCGGAGAGGGUGAGAGCCCCGUCGAGCUCGGACCCUGCUGCUCCACGAGGCGCUGUCGGCGAGUCGGGCUGUUUGGGAAUGCAGCCCUAAGCGGGUGGUAAAUUCCAUCCAAGGCUAAAUAUGGGCAAGAGACCGAUAGCGAACAAGUACCGCGAGGGAAAGAUGAAA
Molecule: ribosomal RNA, 324 nt
Filed under: Frullania dilatata
Lineage: Eukaryota; Viridiplantae; Streptophyta; Jungermanniopsida; Porellales; Frullaniaceae
Description: eukaryotic LSU rRNA
Rfam family: Eukaryotic large subunit ribosomal RNA
Source: RNAcentral